AUGGACCAACCAUCAGAAGAACCACCAUGGGAUCCCACUGCUAAGUCAUGGCUGCAAGUGGAGAGCACAAAUGAUGACCUUCCUUCGGAUAAAGAGUAAUUGUUUGGCGACUUCAAUCCCAUAAUUUGACUAUCAGAAAUCUGCCUUAAUAGCCGAUGCCCAGGUGAACGCCGAGUCCUUCUUGAAGGGGUUGAGUUUGGGGGAAGUGGAUGACCACAGGGAGGCAAAGGAUUAGCUCCCGGUGUUGAAAAUGAUGAAUGUACAGAAAAUGAAAGCUUUGGGGCAGGUAUCUCUGCAAUAUCAGGAGACUCUGAAGAGUUCUUUCCAUUGACAGGGUAAUUGUGUUCCAUGGAUAGGCCUGAAGGUUGAGCUAUAAGAUUUGUUACAGUUCCUUCCUGUACAGGAGACUUUAGAGAGACGGGUGAUCCAAAACUCUCAUGCAGACUAACCUCAUCAGAAAGAUUACCUCUAUCAGAGCCUAGCAGCCCCUUCACCUCCGCACUAACAUCUCUGCUGAAUCUAUGAGAAGUUUGAUAUGGUGAAUCAUCA
RNAcentral lists this unclassified non-coding RNA (549 nucleotides) under Hevea brasiliensis (rubber tree). Lineage: Eukaryota; Viridiplantae; Streptophyta; Magnoliopsida; Malpighiales; Euphorbiaceae. The record is from RNAcentral.